This is a long non-coding RNA of Arachis stenosperma, 176 nucleotides long. RefSeq lists it as uncharacterized. NCBI's taxonomy places the organism in Eukaryota, Viridiplantae, Streptophyta, Magnoliopsida, Fabales, Fabaceae. The transcript is spliced from 3 exons. The record is from RefSeq and is a predicted model, not a curated record.
AGAUGAACGAGCUCUGCAUCUACGUUCAGCAGGACUACAAGCUCUAUCCUAUAUGGUGCGUUUCAUGGGUGAGCACUCACAUCUUUCCAUGGAUUUCGAUGAUAUUAUAUCAGUGACUUUGGAGAAUUACAUGAAUCAUCAAUCUAACUCCAACAAUGUCAAGGAAGAUAACCUGA